This 251-nucleotide ribosomal RNA is filed under the name Clostridioides difficile. Its description in RNAcentral is "partial 23S ribosomal RNA". It matches the Rfam family "Bacterial large subunit ribosomal RNA", at positions 564 to 814 of the family's 2925-position model. Lineage: Bacteria; Bacillati; Bacillota; Clostridia; Peptostreptococcales; Peptostreptococcaceae. The record is from RNAcentral.
UUACAAGCUGUGGAAGCACAUUUCUUGUGUGACCGCGUACUUUUUGUAGAACGGGCCAACGAGUUACGUUAAGUAGCAAGGUUAAGCACUUAAGGUGCGGAGCCGUAGCGAAAGCGAGUUUUAACUGGGCGUUCAGUUACUUGACGUAGACCCGAAACCGGGCGACCUACCCAUGAGCAGGAUGAAGCGAAAGUAAAAUUUCGUGGAGGUCCGAACCCACGAGCGUUGAAAAGCUCGGGGAUGACUUGUGG